AUUUUCUUUUCUAGUCAGCGCAUGCGCGGUGGCUUCCACACAACGCGUAUAAAAGGACUGGAUCUCAAAGGACAUGUCACAAAGCCCAAGCAGGUCAAAGCAUUGGACACACAAACUCCUAAACUUCAGUAUCGAGACUUCAACUUCGAGAUAACAAGAUGCGUUUCCUCUUCAUUCUGAUCGCCAUGUGCAGCCUCCUGAGUGUCGCCCUCGCGCUUCCUCAGUUCCGGGAAGUGAGAAACGAAGGAUCUCGGAAUUUCUUUAUCCGACCGUUCUUCAGCAGAAACCAGCGCUUCAGGGCGAACCGUCGACGACCCUACGUCACCGACGACUUCUUGGGAGGCAGAUAAUAAGCCAAGGAGCUGAGGAGAUGACUCUGGUCGGCCAAGGAAGUGAGUCAGAUGAGUCCCAUCGGCAGAGGAGAUGAAUUAUGACCUGAUU
RNAcentral lists this long non-coding RNA (441 nucleotides) under Penaeus japonicus. RNAcentral describes it as "uncharacterized LOC122268130". The record is from RNAcentral. Lineage: Eukaryota; Metazoa; Arthropoda; Malacostraca; Decapoda; Penaeidae.